This is a non-coding RNA of Acanthosepion pharaonis, 114 nucleotides long. NCBI's taxonomy places the organism in Eukaryota, Metazoa, Mollusca, Cephalopoda, Sepiida, Sepiidae. The record is from the annotation of a GenBank genome assembly.
UUACGACCACACCACGUUGAAACACCGGUUCUCUUACGAUCAUCAAAGUUAAGCAACAUCGAGUCUGGUCAGUACCUAGGUGGGUGACCGUUUGAGAAUACCAUUUGCUGUAAG